GCGACCCCAGGUCAGGCGGGACCACCCGCUGAGUUUAAGCAUAUCAAUA
Molecule: ribosomal RNA, 49 nt
Filed under: Bejaria sprucei
Lineage: Eukaryota; Viridiplantae; Streptophyta; Magnoliopsida; Ericales; Ericaceae
Also listed under: 1 other name
Description: partial 26S ribosomal RNA
Source: RNAcentral